AUUUUGUUCAUUUGGAUUAUGCUGAUGCGGAUACAUCCACUUGAACAGACUCA
This 53-nucleotide microRNA precursor is filed under the name Oreochromis niloticus (Nile tilapia). RNAcentral describes it as "microRNA oni-mir-10897 precursor". Lineage: Eukaryota; Metazoa; Chordata; Actinopteri; Cichliformes; Cichlidae. The record is from miRBase by way of RNAcentral.